Molecule: ribosomal RNA, 3021 nt
Filed under: Triticum aestivum (bread wheat)
Lineage: Eukaryota; Viridiplantae; Streptophyta; Magnoliopsida; Poales; Poaceae
Description: partial small subunit ribosomal RNA
Source: RNAcentral
GGGUGAAAUCGAAGACCGGAAGAAGAGAGCGGGAGGAAGGUGGAAGGGGAGGGGGCUCUGGCCGCGGCGGGCUAGAGGGCUAGACGAGGACGGGCGGGGGCGCGCGAGGCCGGGCGGCUCCUAGGCGCGCCCCGCGAGGGCUAAACGCCGCGCCCGCCACACAAGGACCUAGUCCACCCGCACCCCCGCGCGCCCUAAGCGCCGGGUACCGGUUGGGGCUGCUGCCGCCGCCCGCGUUCAAGACCGCGAGGCGCAGCACCAGCCGCGGGGCUCGGCGGCUCCGCCCCGGCCUCCGCCGCGGCGAGGGCGGGGCCUACCCCGGGGGCGGCGAGUGGGGCGCCAGCUUUCCGGCCCGGACGGAGGGCGGCGACGUCGGCGAGCGGUAGUGGGCGGCGUCGGACCUGCUCACCGGGUUCCGCCCGAGGCUGCUGCACCCGCUCACCGGGUUGGGGUGGUGGGGCCCGCGGAGGUUCCGCCCGCCGCCGCCGCCGCCGGGCCCGAGGCGGUUCGGGCCGCUCCCGGAGGCCGAGCUGGAGAGGUGGGAGGCGAGCGUCCCGGCGUUCCUGGUCUAGCGGAAGAAGCUGUUCCUCACGAGGUUCCACCGGCUCGUGCAGAUGGAACCGCCGCUGCGGCAACGGUUCUUGGCGCUGUAGGACGCGUUCUUGCCGUAGUGGGUGCAGGAGUUGACGCAGCCGAAGCAGACGGGCCUCAUGAAGUUCAGCCUGGAGCAGAUGGCGUGCGAGACCGACGUCCUGUCGGGGUGGCUCCUGUAGUGGUCGUAGGAGAUACUGCACAAACUAAUGAAGCUCCUGCACUCCCUCGUCCGACCCGCGCACAAGCACGUAACGACGGUCCCCCACAGCGCGAGCUGUAGCGACCACUAUCGCAUAAACUACACCUCCCUUCCCGUCUCGAAGCUACUGCGUAAGGUCAAACACUUCCGACGGUCCCCCUAGCGCUUAGGCUUGUACCCCAAACGGACGGUCGACGAAGUCACGGUCUUCGCCCACGUACGGUAAGGAGACAGGGGUUUGAGUCACGAGUCCUACAUAGCCAACCGUGGAGUGAGGGGUAUGCGAGGUGACGUAGAUCACGGGUUUUACGACUUACUCGGGAGCGGACGGCGGGAGCUGAGAUCCCCACGUAAGUAUCAAGUACACGAGAGCAGCUAAAUACAAACCCAACCUUAGUUUACACUAUGUCAUUACCUCUUCCUACGCUCUCGCCGUCGAAAAGUCCACCACUCCAUACUCUUCCACGUCCCCGUCUAGUUUCAACAGUCUCUUCCCAACCUCGUUGGACUUAAAACCCUGCGGAAAAGGUCACGUGGAUAAUUAAGUCUGUCGUUUUACUUCGAACCGUUCCUCGUCUAGCUAAGCGGUAGGUCCUGACCGCACCCUUCGGCCUCUCACCUUAGAAUACUAAGACUAAAACUCGAGCAGGUCUUUCGCUAUCGACCCCCACAACAAGGUCGUAAGAGCAGAAGACCAUGACUUCUACUCUGGGUAGAAGGUCGCUCUCUUUCAUCGACCUCAAAUGAUUCCGCGUUCAAAUAGAGCUCUAGUGAUAGAGCUCAAAUAAGUCUAAGACGAGACUAUUCCCUAAACCUAGGUGCCCACGUCGUGAACUGACGUCUCCGUAGUUAUAGUGGCGGAAAGGAAAGAGGCUCGAGAAAUAGUAGUCUAAGUUGGUAAUCAAGUUUCAUGUCAAGUCUGAGUGGGAGGGACAGUGGAAGUUGAUCGAGGGGUGGCAGUGAACCAGAAAGUGGACGAAGUAGAUUAAACGGUGUGCGAAACCACGGUAGUAGAUCCAGAGGAGAAGCGGUCAGUAGAUUACGCCUUGUAAGCUUCGGGUAGGACCCUAGUUAUGCGAGAGGCAGGUUCCAGAGUAGAUAUCGUCUUUCUUCUCCUCCUAAAAGUACAGACUUCGACGGUAGUGAGGGUUUCCUCGAUCAUAACGGUGGUUCCCGUGGUAGAUAAGUGUUUCGUCUCCUUCGGUGCCUAUUCUCAUUAUGGUUACCACACUUUGUCGAAUGACCACAAAGAACGGGUCUCUUUACGUGGCCUUGAUCAAGUUGUCGUUGACUGUCGUUGAGUCUCCGAUGACAGGUGCCACUCUGGUAUAAUUAACUCGUAUGAUUGAGUCUCCGGACAUUAAUACAAGUUGAUGAUCAGAUGGCUACCGGGACGUACCUCUUCGACUGACGUAAGCGAGCGUUCCUAGAACUGGGUUUUUGUCAAAAAUAAAAACAACGAGGAUUACGGUCGUCUUCACGUCUUCGUCAAUUUUACCAUACGCAUACCCAUCCUCCACUUAUACUCACAUCAUUUCCACAACUUUCAUAACUAACCGUCGUUCAACGACCACUAAAAGAAUUAGUCUUCCCCAAGUCGUUAUGAGAAGGACAAUUCCAAAAGUUCCUCGUACUUUGGCUCUUAGAAAACCUCCACGACCUACGAGCAAUUGUCAUCCAGUCCCAUAAGAUGAUCGAAUUGUUUGUCGGCGUUUGAUAGUUAAGUUACUUCCGUAAAGGAGGUCGUAGCGAGGUACAUCACCGCUGACAGUCCGCUCCAUAUUCGGCACUGUUGGCAAGGGAGGACUUGUAUAUCCGAUGUCUAAGGUAAAAUCAUCUUGUCUACCUAACCGUUAAACACGGAAAAAAAAAGUCUGAACAAACACAGUUUUACCGUCCUCCGACGGUCUCGCAACAUAGACACACUUAAUUGUGUGUCUCUAAGCCAAAACCGCGUUGGCCCACAUAUAAUAGACGAAGUGACAUUACAUUCGGGUAUCCGGCCCUCUAGCUACCACAGCAAAAAUGGGGGACUUUUAGUACAUGUAGAGUCCCAUCUUGUCUAAACAUUAGGAGAACCGGAUGUCCACAGAGACGACCAGAAUUGAAAAUUGGAACUUGGGCCGAUAAACGACAGGACGCGUACAGCAUAAUCGUUACAUGAAGGUCUGAGACCAGUAUAAGUAUGAACGAUAGAGUAUGUUUCAAGGGACAAAGGUUCUUUAACG